Molecule: ribosomal RNA, 578 nt
Filed under: Phoma sp. NF-H
Lineage: Eukaryota; Fungi; Ascomycota; Dothideomycetes; Pleosporales; Didymellaceae
Also listed under: 1 other name
Description: eukaryotic LSU rRNA
Rfam family: 5.8S ribosomal RNA (bases 208-361)
Source: RNAcentral
CUUGGUCAUUUAGAGGAAGUAAAAGUCGUAACAAGGUUUCCGUAGGUGAACCUGCGGAAGGAUCAUUACCUAGAGUUGUAGGCUUUGCCUGCUAUCUCUUACCCAUGUCUUUUGAGUACCUUCGUUUCCUCGGCGGGUUCGCCCGCCGAUUGGACAAUUUAAACCAUUUGCAGUUGCAAUCAGCGUCUGAAAAAACAUAAUAGUUACAACUUUCAACAACGGAUCUCUUGGUUCUGGCAUCGAUGAAGAACGCAGCGAAAUGCGAUAAGUAGUGUGAAUUGCAGAAUUCAGUGAAUCAUCGAAUCUUUGAACGCACAUUGCGCCCCUUGGUAUUCCAUGGGGCAUGCCUGUUCGAGCGUCAUUUGUACCUUCAAGCUCUGCUUGGUGUUGGGUGUUUGUCUCGCCUCUGCGUGUAGACUCGCCUCAAAACAAUUGGCAGCCGGCGUAUUGAUUUCGGAGCGCAGUACAUCUCGCGCUUUGCACUCAGAACGACGACGUCCAAAAGUACAUUUUUACACUCUUGACCUCGGAUCAGGUAGGGAUACCCGCUGAACUUAAGCAUAUCAAUAAGCGGAGGA